AUUGAACGCUGGCGGCAGGCCUAACACAUGCAAGUCGAACGAGUGGCGGACGGGUGAGUAAUGUAUGGGAAUCUACCUUAUGGAGGGGGAUAACUACUGGAAACUGUAGCUAAUACCGCAUACCAUCGGAUGAGCCCAAAUGGGAUUAGCUAGUAGGUGGGGUAACGGCUCACCAAGGCGACGAUCCCUAGCUGGUCUGAGAGGAUGAUCAGCCACACUGGGACUGAGACACGGCCCAGACUCCUACGGGAGGCAGCAGUGGGGAAUAUUGCACAAUGGGCGCAAGCCUGAUGCAGCCAUGCCGCGUGUAUGAAGAAGGCCUUCGGGUUGUAAAGUACUUUCAGUAGGGAGGCGUUACCGACAGAAGAAGCACCGGCUAACUCCGUGCCAGCCGCCGCGGUAAUAC
RNAcentral lists this ribosomal RNA (406 nucleotides) under uncultured bacterium. Its description in RNAcentral is "partial 16S ribosomal RNA". It matches the Rfam family "Bacterial small subunit ribosomal RNA", at positions 30 to 526 of the family's 1533-position model. The record is from RNAcentral.